Molecule: ribosomal RNA, 254 nt
Filed under: uncultured bacterium
Lineage: Bacteria
Description: partial 16S ribosomal RNA
Rfam family: Bacterial small subunit ribosomal RNA
Source: RNAcentral
UACAGAGGUUACAAGCGUUAUCCGGAUUUAUUGGGCGUAAAGCGUUUCGUAGGCGGAUUUUUAAGUUACCCUUCAAAGACUACGGCUUAACCGGAGGAAGGGGGGUAAUACUGAAAGUCUUGAUUUUUAGUGGGGUAUCUGGAACUGAUGGUGUAGUAGUGAAAUACGUUGAUAUCAUCAGGAACUCCGAGGGCGAAGGCAGGAUACUAACUAUCAUAUGACGCUGAGGAACGACAGCUAGGGGAGCGAAAGGG